AAUCAACGCUGGCGGCGUGCCUCAGACAUGCAAGUCGAACGAUUAAACUUUCCUUCGGGAAAGAUAUAAAGUGGCGCACGGGUGAGUAACACGUAAGUAAUCUACCUUUGAGUGGGGAAUAACGUUCGGAAACGGACGCUAAUACCGCAUAAUGCAGCGGCACCUAAUGGUGACAGUUGUUAAAGGAGCAAUCCGCUUAAAGAGGAGCUUGCGGCAGAUUAGCUAGUUGGUAAGGUAACGGCUUAACCAAGGCUACGAUCUGUAACCGGUCUAAGAGGACGGUCGGUCACACUGACACUGAAUAACGGGUCAGACUCCUACGGGAGGCAGCAGUCGGGAAUUUUGGGCAAUGGGCGAAAGCCUGACCCAGCAACGCCGCGUGAAGGAUGAAGUAUUU
Molecule: ribosomal RNA, 397 nt
Filed under: uncultured bacterium
Lineage: Bacteria
Description: bacterial SSU rRNA
Rfam family: Bacterial small subunit ribosomal RNA
Source: RNAcentral